UACGGGGGGAGCAAGCGUUGUUCGGAUUUACUGGGCGUAAAGGGUGCGUAGGCGGCUCUUUAAGUCAGUGGUGAAAUACUGCAGCUCAACUGUAGCAUUGCCAUUGAUACUGAAGAGCUUGAGUACAGAUGAGGUAGGCGGAAUUUAUGGUGUAGCGGUGAAAUGCAUAGAUACCAUAAAGAACACCGAUUGCGAAGGCAGCUUACUAAGCUGUAACUGACGCUGAGGCACGAAAGCGUGGGGAGCGAACAGG
RNAcentral lists this ribosomal RNA (253 nucleotides) under uncultured bacterium. Its description in RNAcentral is "partial 16S ribosomal RNA". It matches the Rfam family "Bacterial small subunit ribosomal RNA", at positions 524 to 776 of the family's 1533-position model. The record is from RNAcentral.